RNAcentral lists this ribosomal RNA (467 nucleotides) under uncultured bacterium. RNAcentral describes it as "partial 16S ribosomal RNA". It matches the Rfam family "Bacterial small subunit ribosomal RNA", at positions 28 to 507 of the family's 1533-position model. The record is from RNAcentral.
GACGAACGCUGGCGGCGUGCUUAACACAUGCAAGUCGAACGGAAAAGCCUCUUUCGGGGGGUACUCGAGUGGCGAACGGGUGAGUAACACGUGAGUAACCUGCCCUUGACUUUGGGAUAACUUCAGGAAACUGGGGCUAAUACCGGAUAGGAGCUCCUGCUGCAUGGUGGGGGUUGGAAAGUUUCGGCGGUUGGGGAUGGACUCGCGGCUUAUCAGCUUGUUGGUGGGGUAGUGGCUUACCAAGGCUUUGACGGGUAGCCGGCCUGAGAGGGUGACCGGCCACAUUGGGACUGAGAUACGGCCCAGACUCCUACGGGAGGCAGCAGUGGGGAAUAUUGCACAAUGGGUGGAAGCCUGAUGCAGCAACGCCGUGUGCGGGAUGACGGCCUUCGGGUUGUAAACCGCUUUCGCUCAUGACGAAGCUUUGUGUGACGGUAGUGGGUAAAGAAGCACCGGCUAACUACGUG